Molecule: long non-coding RNA, 233 nt
Filed under: Glycine max (soybean)
Lineage: Eukaryota; Viridiplantae; Streptophyta; Magnoliopsida; Fabales; Fabaceae
Description: long non-coding RNA (GMAX_LNC002886)
Source: RNAcentral
UUUUGUUUAUGAUCAUAUUGGUCUUUUUGGUUGUGUCUCCUCAAUUUGGAACUGCGUGCAGGCCUUUAUUAUUAAAGGACGAACUGUUGCUGAAACUUCCAAAAGGCUCUCCGGUUGUAUCAAGUCCUGAUCCAAUUCAUACGUGAAAUGAAUGAACAACACAAGCCUACAAGCGUCGUCCAUGCACAGAUAAUUCACUUUUUCGCCUUGUCCAAGAAUUAAUUCACUUUUUC